GUACACUCCUGCGGGAGGCAGCAGUGGGGAAUUUUGGACAAUGGGCGAAAGCCUGAUCCAGCAAUGCCGCGUGAGUGAAGAAGGCCUUCGGGUUGUAAAGCUCUUUUGUCAGGGAAGAAACGGUGAAAGCUAAUAUCUUUUGCUAAUGACGGUACCUGAAGAAUAAGCACCGGCUAACUACGUGCCAGCAGCCGCGGUAAUACGUAGGGUGCAAGCGUUAAUCGGAAUUACUGGGCGUAAAGCGUGCGCAGGCGGUUUUGUAAGUCUGAUGUGAAAUCCCCGGGCUCAACCUGGGAAUUGCAUUGGAGACUGCAAGGCUAGAAUCUGGCAGAGGGGGGUAGAAUUCCACGUGUAGCAGUGAAAUGCGUAGAUAUGUGGAGGAACACCGAUGGCGAAGGCAGCCCCCUGGGUCAAGAUUGACGCUCAUGCACGAAAGCGUGGGGAGCAAACAGGAUUAGAAACCCGGGUAGUCCCAUGAU
Molecule: ribosomal RNA, 479 nt
Filed under: uncultured organism
Description: partial 16S ribosomal RNA
Rfam family: Bacterial small subunit ribosomal RNA
Source: RNAcentral